UUCUUUUCUGGGCCUAGCCCGCACGCCUCUUCUUCUUCCUCCUCCCUUCACGCCGCUCACGCCUUCUGCAAAAAAAGGAAGAGCGACGGAGGUACAAAGACAGGGGAGCAGCAGGUCGCAGCGUGAUCCUACGGUUGGGGAUCAGGCCGGCCGCGACAGGCUGGUGGCAGAAGCCAUUUGCACCUGUCGCUGGCCAAGCUUAAAAGAAAGAGAGCAGUUUUCUGGGGGGUCUUUUUUGGAUUCACAGAGAGUGAGCCAGGGGGAGAGGGAGCUCGAGAAGGUGGCCGGCUGUCGUGGGAGGUCCGUGCACCAGCCCCCGUCCGCCGCGGCGUUUCCGUGAACCAGGUCUUACCCCCAAGCGUAGGUGCCUUGUUUGUUUGUUUGUUUUUUUCUCUUUUGGGGGGCCUCGGGCCGGAGCUCGCGGCCAACGAAGCCCGCGUGUUUCGGUCCCAUUGGUCCUUUGUGAAACCUACUGUGUGAUCGAGUAUGCAUGUUAGGAAGUUGGGUCUGUGUCCGAAUCCCCAACGAGUUCGAAAUCC
RNAcentral lists this long non-coding RNA (539 nucleotides) under Eucalyptus grandis. Its description in RNAcentral is "long non-coding RNA (EGRA_LNC002756)". Lineage: Eukaryota; Viridiplantae; Streptophyta; Magnoliopsida; Myrtales; Myrtaceae. The record is from RNAcentral.